This 232-nucleotide long non-coding RNA is filed under the name Olea europaea (common olive). Its description in RNAcentral is "long non-coding RNA (OEUR_LNC014115)". The record is from RNAcentral. Lineage: Eukaryota; Viridiplantae; Streptophyta; Magnoliopsida; Lamiales; Oleaceae.
UCGAGUUUGGCUUGCAAUGAAAAUGGAAUUGAGAAAAUACAAUAAAAAUGGACACAAAUAUAUACUUGGUUCAUUCAAUUUUGGCUACGUCCAUGGACAAGUAUAGGAGAAUUUUACUAUAACAGGAGAAUUACAGGAAUACUCUCUAAAUACAAGAAGAUAACAAACAAUUAAUCUCACUUGUAAUAAGAGAAGCUAAGUAGGAAACACUUAGGAGAAAACAAUAUUUUUU